AUUGAACGCUGGCGGCAUGCCUUACACAUGCAAGUCGAACGGCAGCACGGGAGCAAUCCUGGUGGCGAGUGGCGAACGGGUGAGUAAAGUAUCGGAACGUGCCCAGUCGUGGGGGAUAACGUAGCGAAAGUUACGCUAAUACCGCAUAUGAUCUAUGGAUGAAAGCGGGGGAUCGCAAGACCUUGCGCGAUUGGAGCGGCCGAUAUCAGAUUAGGUAGUUGGUGGGGUAAAGGCUCACCAAGCCGACGAUCUGUAGCUGGUCUGAGAGGACGACCAGCCACACUGGGACUGAGACACGGCCCAGACUCCUACGGGAGGCAGCAGUGGGGAAUUUUGGACAAUGGGCGAAAGCCUGAUCCAGCCAUGCCGCGUGCAGGAUGAAGGCCUUCGGGUUGUAAACUGCUUUUGUACGGAACGAAAAGGUUUGGGCUAAUAAGCUGAGCUCAUGACGGUACCGUAAGAAUAAGCACCGGCUAACUACGUGCCAGCAGCCGCUGUAA
Molecule: ribosomal RNA, 500 nt
Filed under: uncultured bacterium
Lineage: Bacteria
Description: partial 16S ribosomal RNA
Rfam family: Bacterial small subunit ribosomal RNA
Source: RNAcentral